RNAcentral lists this ribosomal RNA (467 nucleotides) under uncultured bacterium. RNAcentral's name for it is "partial 16S ribosomal RNA". It matches the Rfam family "Bacterial small subunit ribosomal RNA", at positions 28 to 506 of the family's 1533-position model. The record is from RNAcentral.
GACGAACGCUGGCGGCGCGCCUAACACAUGCAAGUCGAACGGAGCUGAGAGAAGCUUGCUUUUCUUAGCUUAGUGGCGAACGGGUGAGUAACGCGUGAGUAACCUGCCCUGGAGUGGGGGACAACAGUUGGAAACGACUGCUAAUACCGCAUAAGCCCACGAUCCGGCAUCGGAUUGAGGGAAAAGGAUUUAUUCGCUUCAGGAUGGACUCGCGUCCAAUUAGCUAGUUGGUGAGGUAACGGCCCACCAAGGCGACGAUUGGUAGCCGGACUGAGAGGUUGAACGGCCACAUUGGGACUGAGACACGGCCCAGACUCCUACGGGAGGCAGCAGUGGGGGAUAUUGCACAAUGGGGGAAACCCUGAUGCAGCGACGCCGCGUGGAGGAAGAAGGUUUUCGGAUUGUAAACUCCUGUCGUUAGGGACGAUAAUGACGGUACCUAACAAGAAAACACCGGCUAACUACGU